Prinia subflava (tawny-flanked prinia) is the source of this 611-nucleotide long non-coding RNA. RefSeq lists it as uncharacterized. NCBI's taxonomy places the organism in Eukaryota, Metazoa, Chordata, Aves, Passeriformes, Cisticolidae. The transcript is spliced from 4 exons. The record is from RefSeq and is a predicted model, not a curated record.
UAAAUUACAGGUUGUUUACAGCUUUGGCCUUUCUUUUCUCUUUUUUUUUGAGAUUUUCUCUGCAACCACGUGGAUUAGGAACCGACCUUUGGCCUGAAGCUUUGUCAUGAUGCCUGGAGCUGAGGCUGUGUGUUCAGUGACUCCUGAAUCUCCUGAGGCCCAUGCCUGUUCUGUUGGGCUCUGGCUGCAGGAUAGUAAGGACUGACUCAAAGAGAGCGAGGACAUUUCUGAAUUAACAGUACAACACAAACCAGGUGCUGGGAGGACAAGGAGAUGCUGUUUUUACAACAUGGAGCUCAGGAGUGAUUCUUUGAAACUGGGACACCGGGGAUGCCACCACUGCCUCCUGCUCCAGGCAAACCAGGAGUUUUGACUGCACUGCAAACACUCCUGCCACAUGGAAUGGCACAACUUGGGGAGAGAAUCAGCUGUGCAGAGGAUCACAGAUCAAAAAGACUGAGGGACUACACCAAGCUUCAGCAUGCAAACAGAGAGCUGCUUCUCCCGGAGCUGCCUCUCCUUCUCCUGUGACCAGAGGACAUGAGCCAUGAGGCUGUUCCCAGAGGAGGCUCCAUGGAGCACCGAAGCCCUGCUGGAGCAGGCACCUUUGG